RNAcentral lists this ribosomal RNA (492 nucleotides) under uncultured bacterium. RNAcentral's name for it is "partial 16S ribosomal RNA". It matches the Rfam family "Bacterial small subunit ribosomal RNA", at positions 29 to 507 of the family's 1533-position model. The record is from RNAcentral.
AGUGAACGCUGGCGGUAGGCCUAACACAUGCAAGUCGAACGGCAGCACAGUAAUAGCUUGCUCUUACGGGUGGCGAGUGGCGGACGGGUGAGGAAUACAUCGGAAUCUACUUUUUCUUGGGGGAUAACGUAGGGAAACUUACGCUAAUACCGCAUACGACCUACGGGUGAAAGCAUGGGAUCUUCGGACCUUGCGCGAUUCAAUGAGCCGAUGUCGGAUUAGCUAGUUGGCGGGGUAAAGGCCCACCAAGGCGACGAUCCGUAGCUGGUCUGAGAGGAUGAUCAGCCACACUGGAACUGAGACACGGUCCAGACUCCUACGGGAGGCAGCAGUGGGGAAUAUUGGACAAUGGGCGCAAGCCUGAUCCAGCCAUACCGCGUGGGUGAAGAAGGCCUUCGGAUUGUAAAGCCCUUUUGUUGGGGAAGAAAAGCAGCAGGUUAAUACCCCGCUGUUCUGACGGUACCCAAAGAAUAAGCACCGGCUAACUUCGUG